This 465-nucleotide ribosomal RNA is filed under the name Globorotalia inflata. RNAcentral's name for it is "SSU rRNA". It matches the Rfam family "Eukaryotic small subunit ribosomal RNA", at positions 1203 to 1482 of the family's 1831-position model. The record is from RNAcentral. Lineage: Eukaryota; Foraminifera; Rotaliida; Globorotaliidae.
ACGCGGGAAUCUUACCGGGUCCGGACACACUGAGGAUUGACAGGCAAUAUAUUAGCAUAAAGACUCGUCUUUAGCGCUAAUUGUUAAAUAUGCUAGUCCUUUCAUGAUUAUGUGAUAGGUGGUGCAUGGCCGUUCUUAGUUCGUGGAGUGAUCUGUCUGCUUAAUUGCGUUUCACUAAGGGCCCAUAAAUUCAAGGUAUGUUAGCAAAUGCUGCUCUAUUGACCCCUAAUAGGCUUAACUGUCUUUAGCGCGUGUCUCUACGAGUUCUUUAAAGCACUGCGCAUGCUGUUGGGUCCUGAAAGCAACGAACGUGACCGCAACGUCUUGUUGCCUCUCUAUAAUAUCUUCUUAUUUUUAAUAAGAGUAUUUACCUGAGGCUAUUUUAAAACUAGACGGACCGCUGUUUCUUUCUUAAACCAGAGGAAGGUUGCGGCAAUAACAGGUCUGUGAUGCCCUCAGAUGUCC